Long non-coding RNA from Syngnathus typhle (broad-nosed pipefish), 2601 nucleotides. RefSeq lists it as uncharacterized. NCBI's taxonomy places the organism in Eukaryota, Metazoa, Chordata, Actinopteri, Syngnathiformes, Syngnathidae. The record is from RefSeq and is a predicted model, not a curated record. The transcript has 3 exons.
UUGCUGCAGGCCACGCAAGGGCCGCUUGGUCCCUCGCUGCCGCCACCGCGUCAAACUCUCGCAAACACGCGCCCGAGCUUCUCGUGUCAGCAAAUGCGUGCGGCGGCGGCGGAAUCUGCUCCCGACGCGCUGGCCUUAUCGCCCGAGGGCCGUAUCCCGGUAUUUGGGAAGGAUUCAAAGGAACAUUUAUUCUUCAACACCGUCACGUCUCUUCCCAAGGGGGUCGCGGCCUUGGACCUGGGCCGGCUCGGGGGGCAGGAGGGCUUUUUUUUUUUCUUUCCGAAGGCUCCCUUUAACCCCUCCGUGGACGGUGAUUCAUAUUGUCAACCCUUCUGGAGUGGACACUGAGUUUGCGUCCAAACUUCCAGUGGCUGUACAAAGUCAUAAAUCAUCGGACGGCGUCCCCGAGGUGACUGUCAGUGUCCACGUAGGAAUAGUGAUUCCUUCUCCCUAAGUGAAAAAGCAAACGGCCAGCCGACGGAAAGGAUAAAUCACUCCUUCAGGCGAAGACAGACCCGGGAGGGAUCGAAACAAACAGGCCGUCGCUCCGGACCGGCCUCGGCUUGUUUAAGACAUUACCAUUUGUGACAACGGCGGCAAAAAUCUCCAAAGUGCCAGGCGGGAAGACACAAGUGGAGCACGUUCUGCCCCAACCUUCCAAAAGCAGCCAUGCUAGCUUCAUGAAGACUCCACCAAAUGGCUGCACCAAAGUCAGCCAGGGCAAGGUAAGCACUCGGAUGGAUUCCCAAAAUGCCUUUUCUUUUCAAUUCUCUCUCGAGUUCAACUUUGUUAAGGCUUCAUGUCUUUUCAAGAAUCAAUUCUAAAAAUGAGGCCAUGACCAGGAAACAUGCAAAAAAAAGGAAGUCAAAGCCCAAACGCUGCUUUUAUGACUAUUGAGCGUCCCUAAACAAAUAUAUUGUUGAACAUUCAAAAAAAAAAAAAAAAAAAAAACCCCGAGUCCCGGUCACAUCCAUUCCAGUUCUGUUAAUGUUAGACAACAAGACCUGUGUCCAAUAACAGGGUCUCCAGCUGUCUUGGAGCACUGGCGUAUCCCCUAACAUCCUUCUUCCCUGUUCUCACACUCUCACUUCCUCACCUGUCAAGAGUUGGAAUGUCACUGGCGGAUGCAGUCCUCCAGAGUCCCGCCGUCAAAACAGAUGUCGCUGCGCUCAGGCCGUCAUAAACGGCAAAGGACGCCUCAACCUGGCUCGGGACGAUAGGUCACGCCGACAAAACAGAAAGUUGCCAUGUUAGCGAGACGUUUUGGACCUUUGGGCUGAUGCCGGACAAGGACAAGGAUCUCUCUCAUUGGGUUGGUUUGCCCGUCAAGUGUUUUAGCAAAUAUAUUCAUCAUCAUAAAAAUGAUAGUUCUCUUGAGAAAGACGGAGGGAAAGGUCUCAGACGUGCGUUUGGCUUUGGCUUUGGCUCUUCUGACAAACGCACAAAAAUAGGCCAUGCAGUCUUUUCAAGUUUCCAACGGGCCGGGCCGGGCCGGGCCGGGCCGGGCCCCGUUUCUGCCGGUCGUCACUCAGUCACCCCCAUUAGCGACCAAAAUCCAUUUCAAUCAGAGCCCAGGUCCCAAGUGGUGGCCAUAUUGGAUGUGGCAAGACCCUCUGGCAUCCGGGCGAGACGAGAAACACCGUUCCUGCCUCGGGUUGGCUCGAUAACAACACUAAAACUUGUUUUUCUGUCCUGUGUCAAAUGAGAAGAUGUUUCUUUUCACAUUGGAGAUACUCGAAGGCCGCGGUUGAGCAAUAUCUCGCUACUACUCCGCAUCGGUUGCGUCAUUGCCCUCUGUUCAAGGAGUCAAAGGUACGCAUGCAUAUCUGUUUUCAAGUAUCAAAUUGAUUUCAAAUAACGACGCUCCCUGACAAAUGUGACUCCAAGUCACUUUUUUGCACUCUUCGAGGAGGAAGAAGCCAAAAUGUCAAAAAUGUAUAAAGCGAGGCUUUUGUGGCCGGGCUGCGGUCCAGCUCUCAGCGGGGAAAGGAAGCGACUCUCCAGGGGCUGCGCUCAAGUCGCCCUGCCCUCUAAGUCCAGUCUCAAUCGGGCCCGCCAGAGGUCACGCUGUCACUUCACAUCCUCUCAUUAGGCUGCCGUGCCCGCCCGCGACAAGAAGCAAAUAGCUGAGUCAUGGGAUUCAAAGCAUAGUUGCACCUUUGCCAUCAGGUACAGUGGAUAGGACCUGCGGGUUCCUUUCGCUCACACGGCGCCACGUGUCUUCUCCGUUUACAGCAUGUGUUGAAGACAUACAGAUUCUCAGCUGCUGAGGCCGAGCUCUUCGAGUACGUCAAGUCGAGCCUUGCGCCCGCUUGUAAAUCGACAGCUGCAAAAAAAAUUCCAAUAUCGAUUAGCCCAAGGGGCGGAAACGAGGGACACGUACAUGGAGCUUUUUAUUGGACGCAGUUUGCAAAUGUUGAGCCUUGUGGGUCGAACGGAAGCCACGCCUUGGGAAAAGUGGCAAAUGUCUUCUACACGUGACACACGACAGGGAAGAAUAUUGCCCACGCCCGCCAAAAAGGAAGUCACUCCAACUGAUUCCAAGAUGGCGUUUCUGCUAGCUAAAAACAAAAAGACCAAAAGCCAAGCUAAACAUUUUAU